Molecule: long non-coding RNA, 255 nt
Organism: Etheostoma spectabile (orangethroat darter)
Lineage: Eukaryota; Metazoa; Chordata; Actinopteri; Perciformes; Percidae
Exons: 2
Source: RefSeq, a predicted model, not a curated record
AGUGUGAUAAACUCUGAAGCUCUAAAGACAUGCGUAUCAUUAUAAGGAUGAAGCUUCUACUGAGCAGUCUGUUACUCGCCUCUCUCCGUGUCCACUCAUCUGGCGGUGUUUCAUCAGACACACUUAUUGUUACCCAGGAUCCUGAUGUCUCUGUCAUGGAGGGGGGGGCAGUCAACAUCACCUGCUGCUGGAAAGGCCAGCAUGUACGAGUGAGAGUAAAAUGGCUGAAGAAUCCUGUAAAUGAGACAAUUCAGA